Molecule: non-coding RNA, 114 nt
Organism: Acanthosepion pharaonis
Lineage: Eukaryota; Metazoa; Mollusca; Cephalopoda; Sepiida; Sepiidae
Source: the annotation of a GenBank genome assembly
UUACGGCCGUAUCACGUUGAAACAUCGGUUUUUGUACGAUCACCGAAGUUAAGCAACCUCGAGUCUGAUCAGUACCAACAUGGAUGACUGGUUGGGAAUACCAAGUACUGUAAU